RNAcentral lists this ribosomal RNA (460 nucleotides) under uncultured bacterium. RNAcentral's name for it is "partial 16S ribosomal RNA". It matches the Rfam family "Bacterial small subunit ribosomal RNA", at positions 338 to 795 of the family's 1533-position model. The record is from RNAcentral.
CCUACGGGGGGCAGCAGUGAGGAAUAUUGGUCAAUGGGCGCGAGCCUGAACCAGCCAAGUCGCGUGAGGGAUGACGGUCCUACGGAUUGUAAACCUCUUUUGCCGGGGAGCAAGCGUGCGUUCGUGAACGCGCGCCGAGAGUCCCCGGAGAAAAAGCACCGGCUAACCCCGUGCCAGCAGCCGCGGUAAUACGGGGGUUGCGAGCGUUAUCCGGAUUUAUUGGGUUUAAAGGGUGCGUAGGCGGACGGUUAAGUCAGCGGUAAAAGCCCGGGGCUCAACCCCGGCGAGCCGUUGAAACUGGCUGUCUUGAGAGGGCGAGAGGUAUGCGGAAUGCGCAGUGUAGCGGUGAAAUGCUUAGAUAUUGCGCAGAACUCCGAUUGCGAAGGCAGCAUACCGGCGGCGAUCUGACGCUGAGGCACGAAAGCGUGGGUAUCGAACAGGAUUAGAUACCCCUGUAGUC